AUCAUAGGUGAUGAAACAAAUAGAAGUUAUUUUUGGUUUUUUAUAUUAUUGGACAUUGGAGAUCGACCUGUAAGUUGCAGAUAUUUAUUGAAUAUUGCAAAACGUGCGUUGGAAACUGAAAUGUCUUACCGAUAUUUUCGAGGGUAUUUGAAUGUUGUCAGCAUUGUCGCAAUGAAUCAUGUAGGAUUUUAUGAACGUAUGGUGAUGAAUAUGCUUCUACAGUAUGCAGAAAGGUUUAGACGAAGUAUUAGACUAAAUAGCAUAUCAAAUACAAGACAGAAACAAAGGAUAAACAACAGUCAGAGACAACCUACAAAGUAUGUUGACAUAGCUGUCACUGUUAUAGCAAUGGUUGGCACUGCAUGUUAUUUCUUCUGGAUAUAGAAGGAAUCUAUUGAACAGCCAAAUCACCUUUAUAUAUAGUUUGUCUUCCAAUUGAAUUCAAAGAUAUUUGUAUAGAGGAUUUGUGCACAUCACUCAUGGUUUACUUUUAUAAAUUGUAACUUGGACGGAGAGUUGUCUCAUUGGCACGUAUAACAAAUCUUAUUAUAUCAAUGUUGGUAUUUGUUGAGAAUCACAAAUAGACAAAUAUGACUUGAUAGACCAAAGGAUAAAUUUUCAACCAUGGAAGUAUCUGAAUAAUGCAUAAAGAAUGCUAUGAAGAUAACUCAUUAAAAUUUUGCAGUCACUAUGGAGAAAAAAAGCUAUAUUUUAUUUUGAUCAACAAAAUAAAACAUAACAAAUUUGAUGAAACAUUUGAUGGAUAGAGUAAAAUCUAUGACAAAUUCGUAUCAUAUACCAUACCAUGGCAACCUAAGUUCCUUACCCACUAUUGAUAUUGGUCAAACCGAGGGUCAAACAUGCAUACUGACUUCAAAAUCAAUAAUAAACGAUUAUGUAUUUUCUAUUUUGAUUUAUAUAAUUUAUAAAAAAACAUGUUGUCAUAAAUUUGUUACUUGUGUAUACAGCUUUUAAUUAUCUCUUUUAAGAAUCAUUCAUUGUAUUGGAUUUAUAUAUAACAAGUAGUUUACUUGAUGUUAGUGAUAAUUCUUUUUAAUGGUUAUGCAUUGAUUACCAUGAUUACAGUGGAAGAUCCAAAGGUUUUAAAAUGGAGGAGGUGCCAACUGCAAAAAAUAUUAAAAAAAAUCUUAAGCCACCUUUAUCUAUCGCGUUUUAUAAUUGGAAGAUUGAUUUGGGUUUAAAUCAAGAUGUAUUGUACACUGUUAUCUAGGCAGGAAAAUAACAAACUGUGAUAAUUAAAUUAUAUAUAUAUUGUUUUAUCAUAUUUUGAUAUAUAUUAUGUACUCAAAAUAAUAUUUUUACACUUGUCAUGUAUUGCAAUAAUUAUAGUUUUACUUA
This is a long non-coding RNA of Mytilus trossulus (common blue mussel), 1359 nucleotides long. RefSeq lists it as uncharacterized. The record is from RefSeq and is a predicted model, not a curated record. NCBI's taxonomy places the organism in Eukaryota, Metazoa, Mollusca, Bivalvia, Mytilida, Mytilidae. The transcript has 4 exons.